This is a non-coding RNA of Gracilinanus agilis (Agile Gracile Mouse Opossum), 411 nucleotides long. NCBI's taxonomy places the organism in Eukaryota, Metazoa, Chordata, Mammalia, Didelphimorphia, Didelphidae. The record is from the annotation of a RefSeq genome assembly.
AUGUCCAGCUCCCUGGUUCUCCUCUUCUUGGCUGCCCUGGUUCAUGCUGGCCAGAUGGCCAUCACCCUGGAGCAGAAAGUUAUCUCCAUAACCCUAAACAUCAAAGAGUCUGCCAUGCUGAGCUGCCAGAUUUUGGGCCCAAAGUUCGACCAUAUCCACUGGUACCGCUUCCAGGAGGGGAGGGCCCCUGAACACCUCCUCCAUUACUCCAUGAGCAAUUCACAGUCUGCUCUGGACCCAGGAUUCAGCUCUGAGAAACUCAGGGCUUAUAAGAGGAAGGAUGACAUCUGUAGACUAGUAGUGAGUAAUCUCGAAGUGAGCGACUCUGGAAUAUAUCACUGUGCCAUCUGGGACGGACCACAGCGGCACACGUCACCCUGGCUCCUGAACAAAAAAUGUCACCUUGAAUAG